This 497-nucleotide ribosomal RNA is filed under the name uncultured bacterium. RNAcentral's name for it is "partial 16S ribosomal RNA". It matches the Rfam family "Bacterial small subunit ribosomal RNA", at positions 28 to 507 of the family's 1533-position model. The record is from RNAcentral.
GAUGAACGCUGGCGGCGUGCCUAAUACAUGCAAGUCGAGCGAACGGACGAGAAGCUUGCUUCUCUGAUGUUAGCGGCGGACGGGUGAGUAACACGUGGAUAACCUACCUAUAAUACUGGGAUAAUUUCGGGAAACCGGAGCUAAUACCGUAUAAUAUUUUGAACCGCAUGGUUCAAAAGUGAAAGACGGUCUUGCUGUCACUUAUAGAUGGAUCCGCGCUGCAUUAGCUAGUUGGUAAGGUAACGGCUUACCAAGGCAACGAUGCAUAGCCGCCCUGAGAGGGUGAUAGGCCACACUGGAACUGAGACACGGUCCAGACUCCUACGGGAGGCAGCAGUCGGGAAUCUUCCGCAAUGGGCGAAAGCCUGAUGGAGCAAAGCCGAGUGAGUGAUGAAGGUCUUCGGAUCGUAAAACUGUGUUAUUAGGGAAGAACAUAUGUGUAAGUAACUGUGCACAUCUUGACGGUACCUAAUCAGAAAGCCACGGCUAACUACGUG